Molecule: ribosomal RNA, 440 nt
Filed under: uncultured bacterium
Lineage: Bacteria
Description: partial 16S ribosomal RNA
Rfam family: Bacterial small subunit ribosomal RNA
Source: RNAcentral
CCUACGGGGGGCAGCAGUGGGGGAUAUUGCACAAUGGGGGAAACCCUGAUGCAGCGACGCCGCGUGGGUGAAGAAGCGCCUCGGCGCGUAAAGCCCUGUCAGCAGGGAAGAAAAUGACGGUACCUGAAGAAGAAGCCCCGGCUAACUACGUGCCAGCAGCCGCGGUAAUACGUAGGGGGCAAGUGUUAUCCGGAUUUACUGGGUGUAAAGGGGGCGCAGACGGCGAUGCAAGCCAGGGGUGAAAGCCCGGGGCCCAACCCCGGGACUGCUCUUGGAACUGCGUGGCUAGAGUGCAGGAGGGGCAGGCGGAAUUCCUGGUGUAGCGGUGAAAUGCGUAGAUAUCAGGAGGAACACCGGUGGCGAAGGCGGCCUGCUGGAUUGCAACUGACGUUGAGGCCCGAAAGCGUGGGGAGCAAACAGGAUUAGAUACCCCAGUAGUC